UGGGGGAUCUUGCGCAAUGGGCGAAAGCCUGACGCAGCGACGCCGCGUGAGGGAUGAAGGCCUUCGGGUUGUAAACCUCUUUCAGCAGGGACGAAGCGAAAGUGACGGUACCUGCAGAAGAAGCCCCGGCCAACUACGUGCCAGCAGCCGCGGUAAGACGUAGGGGGCGAGCGUUGUCCGGAUUCAUUGGGCGUAAAGCGCGCGCAGGCGGCCCGGUAAGUCGGAUGUGAAAAUCCACGGCUCAACCGUGGACGGUCAUUCGAUACUGUCGGGCUCGAGGCAGGUAGGGGAGAUCGGAAUUCCUGGUGUAGCGGUGAAAUGCGCAGAUAUCAGGAGGAACACCGGUGGCGAAGGCGGAUCUCUGGGCCUGUCCUGACGCUCAGGCGCGAAAGCUGGGGGAGCAAACAGG
Molecule: ribosomal RNA, 409 nt
Filed under: uncultured bacterium
Lineage: Bacteria
Description: bacterial SSU rRNA
Rfam family: Bacterial small subunit ribosomal RNA
Source: RNAcentral